RNAcentral lists this ribosomal RNA (119 nucleotides) under Sphoeroides annulatus (bullseye puffer). RNAcentral describes it as "partial 16S ribosomal RNA". Lineage: Eukaryota; Metazoa; Chordata; Actinopteri; Tetraodontiformes; Tetraodontidae. The record is from RNAcentral.
AACAUUAAUACCCCCAAAAACACCAAACCAAACAAAACAAAUCAUUUUUUCUCCCCAGUAUAGGCGAUAGAAAAGGACCAUGGAGCUAUAGAUGAAGUACCGCAAGGGAAGGCUGAAAG